This 1094-nucleotide ribosomal RNA is filed under the name uncultured bacterium. Its description in RNAcentral is "bacterial SSU rRNA". It matches the Rfam family "Bacterial small subunit ribosomal RNA", at positions 8 to 1104 of the family's 1533-position model. The record is from RNAcentral.
AGAGUUUGAUCCUGGCUCAGGAUGAACGCUAGCGGCAGGCCUAAUACAUGCAAGUCGAACGAGAUUAAGAGGCUUGCUUCUUAUGAAAGUGGCGCACGGGUGCGUAACGCGUAUGCAACCUACCUUAAUCAGGGGGAUAGCCCGAAGAAAUUCGGAUUAAGACCGCAUAAAAACACAGGAUAGCAUUAUCCAAUGUUCAAAUAUUUAUAGGAUUAAGAUGGGCAUGCGUGUCAUUAGCUAGUUGGCGGGGUAACGGCCCACCAAGGCGACGAUGACUAGGGGAUCUGAGAGGAUGACCCCCCACACUGGUACUGAGACACGGACCAGACUCCUACGGGAGGCAGCAGUAAGGAAUAUUGGUCAAUGGAGGGAACUCUGAACCAGCCAUGCCGCGUGCAGGAAGACAGCCCUCUGGGUCGUAAACUGCUUUUAUUCGGGAAUAAACCUUUCUACGUGUAGGAAGCUGAAUGUACCGGAGGAAUAAGGAUCGGCUAACUCCGUGCCAGCAGCCGCGGUAAUACGGAGGAUCCAAGCGUUAUCCGGAUUUAUUGGGUUUAAAGGGUGCGUAGGCGGCUUAUUAAGUCAGGGGUGAAAGACGGUGGCUCAACCAUCGCAGUGCCCUUGAUACUGAUGAGCUUGAAUACACUAGAGGUAGGCGGAAUGUGACAAGUAGCGGUGAAAUGCAUAGAUAUGUCACAGAACACCGAUUGCGAAGGCAGCUUACUAUGGUGUUGUUGACGCUGAGGCACGAAAGCGUGGGGAUCAAACAGGAUUAGAUACCCUGGUAGUCCACGCCCUAAACGAUGAAUACUUGCUGUUAGCGAUAUACAGUUAGCGGCUGAGCGAAAGCGUUAAGUAUUCCACCUGGGGAGUACGCCCGCAAGGGUGAAACUCAAAGGAAUUGACGGGGGCCCGCGCAAGCGGAGGAGCAUGUGGUUUAAUUCGAUGAUACGCGAGGAACCUUACCCGGGCUUGAAAGUUAGUGAAUGAUCUAGAGAUAGAUCAGUGAGCAAUCACACGAAACUAGGUGCUGCAUGGCUGUCGUCAGCUCGUGCCGUGAGGUGUUGGGUUAAGUCCCGCAACGAGCGCAACCC